ACGUUGAAACACAAGUUCCCGUAAGAUCGACGAAGUUAAACAAUGUUGAGCUUGGCCAGUACCUAGAUGGGUGACAGCUUGAGAAUACCAGGAG
Acanthosepion pharaonis is the source of this 94-nucleotide non-coding RNA. NCBI's taxonomy places the organism in Eukaryota, Metazoa, Mollusca, Cephalopoda, Sepiida, Sepiidae. The record is from the annotation of a GenBank genome assembly.